RNAcentral lists this long non-coding RNA (238 nucleotides) under Homo sapiens (human). Its description in RNAcentral is "HSALNT0203803". The record is from RNAcentral. Lineage: Eukaryota; Metazoa; Chordata; Mammalia; Primates; Hominidae.
CUGACAAAGAAAUCAUCAUUCUCUAAGUCAGGAUCCAGGGCUGCCAUCUCGAGGUCAUCUCUUCUAUAGCCUGGUGCAUAAGAGAGAUUCUUCCUGCGGGUUAUGAGCCUUGGGCCAGCAGUUCACAUCUUCUGGGGUCCAACAUUUGGGAAGAAACUGAUCAAAAGCAUUCCCUGGGUUUGGCAUGACUGGACUGAGCUUGCGCACAUAAAGAUCAUCCUUUACAAUGUUGGGUAUG